RNAcentral lists this ribosomal RNA (764 nucleotides) under Porphyromonas endodontalis. RNAcentral's name for it is "bacterial SSU rRNA". It matches the Rfam family "Bacterial small subunit ribosomal RNA", at positions 28 to 776 of the family's 1533-position model. Lineage: Bacteria; Pseudomonadati; Bacteroidota; Bacteroidia; Bacteroidales; Porphyromonadaceae. The record is from RNAcentral.
GACGAACGCUGGCGGCGUGCCUAAUACAUGCAAGUAGAACGCUGAAGGAGGAGCUUGCUUCUCUGGAUGAGUUGCGAACGGGUGAGUAACGCGUAGGUAACCUGCCUGGUAGCGGGGGAUAAUUAUUGUUAAAAAAAAGCAAAACCGCAUAAGAGCAGAUGUUGCAUGACACCUGCUUAAAAGGAACAAUAGCAUCACUCCCAGACCCCCCUGCAUGGUAUUAGCUAGUUGGUGGGGUAACGGCUCACCAAAGUUCCGCUACAUACCCCCCGUGAGAGUGAUCUCGUCCACACUGGAACUGAGACAGGCCCCGGACUCGUACGGGACCCAGCAGUAGGGUAUCUUAGGCAAGGUAUGGAAGUCAGACCGACAAACCCCGCGUGAGUGAAGAAGGUUUUCGGAUUGUAAAGCUCUGUUGUAAGAGAAGAACGAGUGUGAGAGUGGAAUGUUCCCGCUGUGUCGGUAUUUUGCCAGAGAGGGACGCCUACCUACUUUCCAGCAGCCGCGGUAAUACGUAGGUGGCAAGCGUUAUCCGGAUUUAUUGGGCGUAAAGAGAGUGCAGGCGGUUUUCUAAGUAAGAUGUGAAAGCCUUCGGCUUAACCGGGUAAGUCCAUCGGUAAUUUGAUAACUUGAGUGCAGAAGAGGGUAGUGGAAUUCCAUGUGUAGCGGUGGAAUGCGUAGAUAUAUGGAAGAACACCAGUGGCGAAGGCGGCUACCUGGUCUGCAACUGACGCUGAGACUCGAAAGCAUGGGUAGCGAACAGG